AUGAACGCUGGCGGUAUGCUUAACACAUGCAAGUCGAACGCACCUUUCGGGGUGAGUGGCGGACGGGUGAGUAACGCGUGAGAAUCUGCCUUUUGGUCGGGGACAACCACUGGAAACGGUGGCUAAUACCGGAUGUGCCUACGGGUGAAAGAUUUAUUGCCAAAAGAGGAGCUCGCGUCUGAUUAGCUAGUUGGUGGGGUAAGAGCUUACCAAGGCAGCGAUCAGUAGCUGGUCUGAGAGGACGAUCAGCCACACUGGGACUGAGACACGGCCCAGACUCCUACGGGAGGCAGCAGUGGGGAAUUUUCCGCAAUGGGCGAAAGNCUGACGGAGCAAUACCGCGUGAGGGAGGAAGGCUCUUGGGUCGUAAACCUCUUUUGUCAGGGAAGAAGCAAGUGACGGUACCUGACGAAUCAGCAUCGGCUAACUCCGUGCCAGCAGCCGCGGUAAUACGGAGGAUGC
This 462-nucleotide ribosomal RNA is filed under the name Coleofasciculus chthonoplastes. RNAcentral describes it as "bacterial SSU rRNA". It matches the Rfam family "Bacterial small subunit ribosomal RNA", at positions 29 to 535 of the family's 1533-position model. The record is from RNAcentral. Lineage: Bacteria; Bacillati; Cyanobacteriota; Cyanophyceae; Coleofasciculales; Coleofasciculaceae.